GCUAUCACCCUCCAAGGGAAUGCCAAGAUUUUAGCCAAUGGUGUCUUGGCACUGACCAACAGUACACAAAUUCCUCCAACUACAACUUUCCCAAGUACAGGUCGUGCCUUAUAUUCAACACCCGUGCCUCUUUGGGACAGUGCUACCGGCAAUGUUGCCAGUUUUGUCACUUCCUUUUCUUUCGUCAUACUGAACCCGUCUGGACGUGUUCCAACUGAUGGACUCGUAUUUU
This 232-nucleotide long non-coding RNA is filed under the name Lathyrus oleraceus (garden pea). RNAcentral's name for it is "Pisum sativum (pea) long non-coding RNA (PSAT_LNC041312)". Lineage: Eukaryota; Viridiplantae; Streptophyta; Magnoliopsida; Fabales; Fabaceae. The record is from RNAcentral.